This 468-nucleotide ribosomal RNA is filed under the name uncultured bacterium. RNAcentral's name for it is "partial 16S ribosomal RNA". It matches the Rfam family "Bacterial small subunit ribosomal RNA", at positions 28 to 507 of the family's 1533-position model. The record is from RNAcentral.
GACGAACGCUGGCGGCGUGCUUAACACAUGCAAGUCGAACGGAAAGGCCCUGCUUUUGUGGGGUGCUCGAGUGGCGAACGGGUGAGUAACACGUGAGUAACCUGCCCUUGACUUUGGGAUAACUUCAGGAAACUGGGGCUAAUAACGGAUAGGAGCUCCUGCUGCAUGGUGGGGGUUGGAAAGUUUCGGCGGUUGGGGAUGGAUUCGCGGCUUAUCAGCUUGUUGGUGGGGUAGUGGCUUACCAAGGCGUUGACGGGUAGCCGGCCUGAGAGGGUGACCGGCCACAUUGGGACUGAGAUACGGCCCAGACUCCUACGGGAGGCAGCAGUGGGGAAUAUUGCACAAUGGGCGGAAGCCUGAUGCAGCAACGCCGCGUGCGGGAUGACGGCCUUCGGGUUGUAAACCGCUUUCGCCUGUGACGAAGCGUGAGUGACGGUAAUGGGUAAAGAAGCACCGGCUAACUACGUG